Molecule: ribosomal RNA, 253 nt
Filed under: uncultured bacterium
Lineage: Bacteria
Description: partial 16S ribosomal RNA
Rfam family: Bacterial small subunit ribosomal RNA
Source: RNAcentral
UACGGAGGGGACUAGCGUUGUUCGGAAUUACUGGGCGUAAAGCGUAUGCAGGCGGACUUUUAAGUCGGGGGUGAAAUCCCCGGGCUCAACCCGGGAACUGCGUCCGAUACUGGCAGGCUUGAAUCCCGGAGAGGGAUGUGGAAUUCCAGGUGUAGCGGUGAAAUGCGUAGAUAUCUGGAGGAACACCGGUGGCGAAGGCGGCAUCCUGGACCGGUAUUGACGCUGAGGCGCGAAAGCCAGGGGAGCAAACGGG